UACGGGAGGCAGCAGUGGGGAAUAUUGCACAAUGGGCGCAAGCCUGAUGCAGCCAUGCCGCGUGUAUGAAGAAGGCCUUCGGGUUGUAAAGUACUUUCAGUCGUGAGGAAGGUGUUAAGGUUAAUAACCUUAGCAAUUGACGUUAGCGACAGAAGAAGCACCGGCUAACUCCGUGCCAGCAGCCGCGGUAAUACGGAGGGUGCGAGCGUUAAUCGGAAUUACUGGGCGUAAAGGGCAUGCAGGCGGUUAAUUAAGUUGGAUGUGAAAUCCCCGGGCUUAACCUGGGAAUGGCAUUCAAGACUGGUUAGCUAGAGUCUUGUAGAGGGGGUAGAAUUCCAUGUGUAGCGGUGAAAUGCGUAGAGAUGUGGAGGAAUACCGGUGGCGAAGGCGGCCCCUGGACAAAGACUGACGCUCAUGUGCGAAAGCGUGGGGAGCAAACAGGAUUAGAUACC
Molecule: ribosomal RNA, 452 nt
Filed under: uncultured bacterium
Lineage: Bacteria
Description: bacterial SSU rRNA
Rfam family: Bacterial small subunit ribosomal RNA
Source: RNAcentral